RNAcentral lists this ribosomal RNA (433 nucleotides) under uncultured bacterium. RNAcentral describes it as "bacterial SSU rRNA". It matches the Rfam family "Bacterial small subunit ribosomal RNA", at positions 335 to 758 of the family's 1533-position model. The record is from RNAcentral.
ACUCCUACGGGAGGCAGCAGUGGGGAAUAUUGCACAAUGGGCGCAAGCCUGAUGCAGCCAUGCCGCGUGUGUGAAGAAGGCCUUCGGGUUGUAAAGCACUUUCAGUCGUGAGGAAGGUAGUGUAGUUAAUAGCUGCAGUAUUUGACGUUAGCGACAGAAGAAGCACCGGCUAACUCCGUGCCAGCAGCCGCGGUAAUACGGAGGGUGCGAGCGUUAAUCGGAAUUACGUGGGCGUAAAGCGCAUGCAGGUUGGUUUGUUAAGUCAGAUGUGAAAGCCCGGGGCUCAACCUCGGAAUAGCAUUUGAAACUGGCAGACUAGAGUACUGGUAGAGGGGGUAGAAUUUCAGGUGUAGCGGUGAAAUGCGUAGAGAUCGUGAAGGAAUACCGGUGGCGAAGGCGGCCCCUGGACAGAUACUGACACUCAGAUGCGAAA